Molecule: ribosomal RNA, 253 nt
Filed under: uncultured bacterium
Lineage: Bacteria
Description: partial 16S ribosomal RNA
Rfam family: Bacterial small subunit ribosomal RNA
Source: RNAcentral
UACGUAGGGUGCAAGCGUUGUCCGGAAUUAUUGGGCGUAAAGAGCUCGUAGGCGGCCUGUCGCGUCGGCUGUGAAAACCCGGGGCUCAACCCCGGGCCUGCAGUCGAUACGGGCAGGCUAGAGUCCGGCAGGGGAGACUGGAAUUCCUGGUGUAGCGGUGAAAUGCGCAGAUAUCAGGAAGAACACCCGUGGCGAAGGCGGCUCUCUGGUACGUGACUGACGCUGAGACGCGAAAGCGUAGGGAGCGAACAGG